GACGAACGCUGGCGGCGUGCUUAACACAUGCAAGUCGAACGAUGAAGCUGGAGCUUGCUCCGGUGGAUUAGUGGCGAACGGGUGAGUAACACGUGAGCAAUCUGCCCUUGACUCUGGGAUAACUGCGGGAAACUGUAGCUAAUACCGGAUAUGAGGCUUGGAGGCAUCUCCAGGUCUGGAAAGAAUUUCGGUCAAGGAUGAGCUCGCGGCCUAUCAGCUAGUUGGUGAGGUAAUGGCUCACCAAGGCGACGACGGGUAGCCGGCCUGAGAGGGUGACCGGCCACACUGGGACUGAGACACGGCCCAGACUCCUACGGGAGGCAGCAGUGGGGAAUAUUGCACAAUGGGCGGAAGCCUGAUGCAGCAGCGCCGCGUGAGGGAUGAAGGCCUUCGGGUUGUGAACCUCUUUUAGCAGGGAAGAAGCGAAAGUGACGGUACCUGCAGAAAAAGCACCGGCUAACUACGUGCCAGCCGCCGCAGUAA
RNAcentral lists this ribosomal RNA (483 nucleotides) under uncultured bacterium. Its description in RNAcentral is "partial 16S ribosomal RNA". It matches the Rfam family "Bacterial small subunit ribosomal RNA", at positions 28 to 523 of the family's 1533-position model. The record is from RNAcentral.